This 146-nucleotide non-coding RNA is filed under the name Burkholderia pseudomallei B7210. RNAcentral describes it as "radC RNA". It matches the Rfam family "radC RNA". The record is from RNAcentral. Lineage: Bacteria; Pseudomonadati; Pseudomonadota; Betaproteobacteria; Burkholderiales; Burkholderiaceae.
GGCUCAAGACCAUGUUCCGCUGACUCGUCAGCAACAUGCCCAGGUAGCCAUGAUCUUCAAGGCUACGGCGCGGUGUUCUCACCACGUUGAUCGCCCGUUCACAUAAGGCAUCCAUGGCGAACAUCCAUCAGCCCUGAUGGAGAUGC